GAUGGCUUUACACACGGAGGGGCAGACAACUGCUGCACCGCGACGGCAUCAUUUCAAAACAUAUCGCCCUGUGCGGAGCAUGAUACAGUUGCAUACAGGGAGUGAGAAAACCACUCAAUUCGAUGGUACGCGCGCACACAGAAUAUCCUUUUGGACGAUCUCUACUAGCCACGACUUACUGGCCACGAGAGGCGGCGCUGCACUGGAAUACUCCAUCUUUUCCGCGCUUCUGAACUCUUAAGCUAAUUUCUUAACCUCUGUAAUAGCUACACAUACAUGUUGCGCUGAGUGCCAGGUCUUCUAAAAGGCACAGCGUGUGCGGUUUGUCCGAUGCGGCGGCGAGAUCCACCACACCUGCUAUGUAUCAGAUACCUACGAAAAGAUCUUUGAAUGCAUAUAUAAUUAUUGUCAAGCUAUAAUUGUUUGUUCGUGGAUGUGGAACACCUCGCAAGCGAUCGAUAACGUGGGCCAGACCCUAAUCCUGUCGAAAGUACGACAAACG
RNAcentral lists this long non-coding RNA (502 nucleotides) under Volvox carteri. Its description in RNAcentral is "long non-coding RNA (VCAR_LNC000660)". The record is from RNAcentral. Lineage: Eukaryota; Viridiplantae; Chlorophyta; Chlorophyceae; Chlamydomonadales; Volvocaceae.